Molecule: ribosomal RNA, 252 nt
Filed under: uncultured bacterium
Lineage: Bacteria
Description: partial 16S ribosomal RNA
Rfam family: Bacterial small subunit ribosomal RNA
Source: RNAcentral
UACGGAGGGUGCAAGCGUUAUCCGGAUUCACUGGGUUUAAAGGGUGCGUAGGUGGGCAGGUAAGUCAGUGGUGAAAUCUCUGGGCUUAACCCGGAACUGCCGUUGAUACUAUCUGUCUUGAAUGUAGUGGAGGUGAGCGGAAUAUGUCAUGUAGCGAUGAAAUGCUUAGAUAUGACAUAGAACAUCGAUUGCGAAGGCAGCUCGCUACACUAUGAUUGACACUGAGGCACGAAAGCGUGGGGAUCAAACAGG